Long non-coding RNA from Mastomys coucha (southern multimammate mouse), 427 nucleotides. RefSeq lists it as uncharacterized. The transcript is spliced from 2 exons. The record is from RefSeq and is a predicted model, not a curated record. NCBI's taxonomy places the organism in Eukaryota, Metazoa, Chordata, Mammalia, Rodentia, Muridae.
AACACUCAGUUUCCCAGGUUACAAGAUGCUGCUCAUAACCUCUUAGGGCAAAAAAAUGUUUGCCUUACAUGUGAUUAUCAAACUUGAGGGUAGCAAAUGGUCAGUUCUCUGAGGUCUUUAUCAAACCACUUCUCUGUCUCUGCCUUAUGAGAAGAAACGAGUCAUGAUGAGUUAGGGAAGGGAGGAGGAAGCCUGAUCCAGCUGUCUGAGCGUCUCAUGUCUCGUCUGUCUGCACACGGAAUCUGUGGGCUGCUGUGUUUGACAAGAACUUCUAAAAUAUUCUCUUGUUCUGAGUGCUGCCUACGCUUCCUCACCUAUACACACAGAGACUGCCCUAAGGGUGACCCAGGAAGCUGGAAGCAGCCCCAGCACCCCCACCUCAGGCAUUGCUCCACUUUCAGUAGUAAAUCUAACUAAUGCGUGUCUA